Molecule: ribosomal RNA, 498 nt
Filed under: uncultured bacterium
Lineage: Bacteria
Description: partial 16S ribosomal RNA
Rfam family: Bacterial small subunit ribosomal RNA
Source: RNAcentral
GACGAACGCUGGCGGCGUGCCUAAUACAUGCAAGUCGAACGAGAGCGACCGGUGCUUGCACUGGUCAAUCUAGUGGCGAACGGGUGAGUAACACGUGGGUAACCUGCCCAUCAGAGGGGGAUAACAUCCGGAAACGGAUGCUAAAACCGCAUAGGUCUUCGAGCCGCAUGGCUUGAAGAGGAAAAGAGGCGCAAGCUUCUGCUGAUGGAUGGACCCGCGGUGCAUUAGCUAGUUGGUGAGGUAACGGCUCACCAAGGCCGUGAUGCAUAGCCGACCUGAGAGGGUGAUCGGCCACAUUGGGACUGAGACACGGCCCAAACUCCUACGGGAGGCAGCAGUAGGGAAUCUUCCGCAAUGGACGCAAGUCUGACGGAGCAACGCCACGUGAGUGAAGAAGGUUUUCGGAUCGUAAAACUCUGUUGUUAGAGAAGAACAAGUGCUAGAGUAACUGUUAGCGCCUUGACGGUAUCUAACCAGAAAGCCACGGCUAACUACGUG